Molecule: long non-coding RNA, 2680 nt
Filed under: Homo sapiens (human)
Lineage: Eukaryota; Metazoa; Chordata; Mammalia; Primates; Hominidae
Description: HSALNT0291071
Source: RNAcentral
UUAGCCGGGUGUGGUGACAUGCACCUGUAGUCCCAGCUACUCGGGAGGCUGAGGCGGGAGAAUCGCCUGAACCCAGGAAGCAGAGGUUACAGUGAGCCAAGAUCUUGCCACUGUACUCCAGCCUGGGCGACAGAGCGAGACUCUGUCUGAAAAAAAAAAAAAAUUAAAAAGAAAUGCUCCUCAAGUUGGAGAGGGCCCACUAGCAUCCUGAGAGGACUUGGAAGAACAACAGUCCAGGCUGGGCACCUGCUGGGUCUCUGUCCAAAGGCCAGCCCUCUCUUUGUGUCAGCCGCAGAUCCCUCACCUAGGGCAUGACUACUGGCUGCCAGCUCCCACUAACACCUGCUGCAGAUCCAGACUGAAGCCGGCCCCAGCGGCCCCAAAGCCCCUAGGAAGUGACCACCCCCCAUCCCUGGCACCCAGAUCCUGGCCCCUGCACUCACACACAAAACACAUACAGAUGCCUCUCUUUCAUCAUGUAUUUAUUCCUUUAUUUCUGGGAGCCGGGAGGAGUGACGGGAGCAAAUCAGGACCUGGCCGCCCCACGCUGAGCUUGCAGAUAUUGAGAGUUGGGUGACAGAUGGCUGUGUGGUUCAGGCUGCAGGCAGCUUGGGAAUUCAAAAUGGGGCUUAGAGAGGAGCUGGAGGGGGCCCUCGAGGUGGACGUAGUGAUGCAGUAGGGCAUGGCACUGCGAGGUUGCCCGGGUUCUAGUCCCAGCACCAUCACCGGGGAUGAGCCGUUUCAGAGUGUGGCACUCUGUCACACUCCAUUUCAUUGAGAGGCCACUGAGACAUUAUCAAUGGGUAAUGUACAGCACUUCCAUGGCAUAACUCAUUUAAUCUUCACAGCAUGAUGAUGAGGUAGGCAUAGUAUCAUUACCUCCAUUUUACAGAUGGGGAAACUGAGGCUCAGAGAAGGGAAUGACUUGCCCAAGACCACAUGGCUUCUCAGUGAUUGGCUCAGCUAGGAUCCCACCUUUGGUCCUUCAAGUCCACUUCCUCUGCUUUCCUCUUCCUGCACCCUGAGAGGAAAUGCUCUGAGUAUACCGAGGGUCCUCAGGAGACUCUCACAUCCAGCUCACAGUCACAGGCUGAGCAUUCCCUGUGCUGGGUUCUGUACCUCAUCAUGUUGGCAGCAGAGGCACGUGCCAGCUGCUCAAAAAACUGCUGUAACCUUGGUAGAUCCCUCUCCCCAUCCAUUUCUUCCUUGCCUUGGAAGUCCUGCUUGUUUGAUAAUUUUCUGACUGACUGCCAUGUUGUUGCCUUGUGACCUUGGGCAUGUCAUUUCACUCUGAGCCAUUUCUCAGUCAUGGAUGACAGCACUUAGCUGAUGAGAAGUUGAGAAGAUUCAGAAAGAGGCUAUGAGUGAAGGACCUUGUCUGUUUUGGUCAUGAAAGUGUUCCCAGGAAAUGCAAAUGGACACACAGUAGUUAUCUACUGAGCUAAUGAACAAUGUCCCUGGUGCAUAGUAAGUGCCCAAUAAAAUGCAGCUUUUUUCAUAUUAUCUAAUGUUUUAGGCCAUGCCUGCACCAACCCAUGCUUCUUUUUUUUUUUCUUUCUUUCUUUCUUUUUUUUUUUUUAAGACAGAGUCUCACUCUGUCACCCAGGCUGAAGUGCAAUGGCGAGAUCUCGGCUCACUGCAACCUCCGCCGCCCGGGUUCAAGCAAUUCUCCUGCCUCAGCCUGCUGAGUAGCUGGGAUUACAGGCACGUGCCCGGCUAAUUUUGUAUUUUUAGUAGAGACGGGGUUUCGCCGUGUUGGCCAGGCUGGUCUCGAACUCCUGACCUCAACUGAUCCACCCACCUCGGCCUCCCAAAGUGCUAGGAUUACAGGCAUGAGCCACCGUGCCCAGCCCAACCCAUGGUUCUUAAUGCUGCAGGUGGGUCCGGAGAAAGGCUUUUCUCUUUUAACCAUCUCCUUGAAUUUCAGAAGGUGGGACAACAUGUGCUGGAAAGCAGUUCUUAAGAGGACAUCUUUUCCCAAGCUCCUUAGCCUUAGCUGUCCUCUCCUGCCCUCACCAGGACUGCCCUCUCAGGGACCCAAGAGGAAGGGACAGCCUGGAAAGGAAGAAGGUCCCGGGCCAUCUGCGUCAUGGGGAUGGAGUCCCUUGGCGUGUGCCGGUGCAAAUACACUCCUGUAACGGGGCUCAUCUAGAAUCUCCUCUCGGAAUGAGGAGACCGCAAAUGUGGUUUUGAAUCUUCAUUGUCCACUUCAUUGCUGUGGUGUUGGGCAGGUCUCUGUCCCUCUCUGGGCCUCUGCACGAUGGAGGGGUAGGAGUUGAUGGUUCUGAAGGCUCUGCCAUCCUGGAAAAGAACUGAGACACUUCCCUCAUGUUCCUGGGUCCCAGAAACAGACAUCUGUUGGUAAAAUCUACUGGGCAUUUGCCCAGAGACAGGGAAAAGAAUGCCUGGGGGUCUGUAAUAGGAGCUGCCCCAAUUAGGGGCAGGGAGGCGGGCAUGUAAAAAAGGAAGCUUAAAGCUUUGUUUUCAGGCUUUUUGCCUACCCCAGGCUCCAUCUUGGUACCAAGUACUCAACCUUCUGUUUUCUCAAUAAAGUGAGCCCUCUUCUCGGUGUCUGCAUCUCUGGCUGUUUUGUUUGCUUACCUCUGCCAGGUUCCCUUGUAAGGGGCCCCCAGUCUGGGGGAUCACAUAAGCCUAUGGGGAAGUCUGGCUCUGCCCUGAG